This is an RNA transcript of Vitis riparia (riverbank grape), 2272 nucleotides long. RefSeq lists it as uncharacterized. The record is from RefSeq and is a predicted model, not a curated record. The transcript has 8 exons. Lineage: Eukaryota; Viridiplantae; Streptophyta; Magnoliopsida; Vitales; Vitaceae.
AACCGACAUGGUGUGUGCAUGAUUUCCACUGGCGAGAGGAAGAGGGAAUUUGCCCAACUUUCCCGGGAACCGAACGGCGGUUAGAAAAUUCUCCCUGAUUUUGUCUUCGACAUAAUUAUCCAAGUUAUAAUAGAAAGAAAGAAGAAGUGCACUUACAUCGGGCGAGAAAUGGGAGCAUCGUCUUCGACACAGCAGGUUUCGACUGAACAACGGGAGGCCGAAACCCUAGCAGCUUCGACUGGAGCUCUUCCAAUGCUUCAGAAGUCUUUCUCUAGGCUUUCUAAUCCCGAAACUAAAGCGAUUCCCCUGACAUCUCUGCAGGAAUGCUUCUGUAUAGCUUUCAACAAUGCAAAGUGUGAAGCACCUUAUGUUCCUGACUACGUCUUGCAGUUGUUGGAUCAACUGGGUCCAUCCGUAGUUGACCUAUUUUUUGUGGCAGAAAAAGGAGGAAUAAGUUGGGUUGAGUUUGUGAGGGGUUAUACUAAAUGCUGUGGGAGGAUGUCAGCUGCAAUGUCCCUUGGUGCUUUGUUGAGGGUUUUUUCAGUUACGACUGUGAAAGUGGGCAUGCCUUCAAAAUUGCAGUUUGAAUCUGAUGAUGCUGAUUGUAAGAUAAGUGGCUCCCUCCAGCCAAAUGAGUUGCUUGUGCUUCUUUGGAUGUGUUGGAUUAUGACGUGGAGUUCUAGAAUCUCCAAAUUCUCCAAUGGAAAACUGAAUCUGGAUCUUCCGGAUAUAAAUAAUUUAGUAUUAUCAGCUAUUGUGUCAUGUACAGAAGUUGGCAGUGACUUGAAUGUAUGGGAUUGUGAUAUCACAAGAUUGGAAGUGCAACUUCCUGCAGGAAAAAUUCAUACCUGGGCCUUGAAUACAGUGCCAAAUCUUGCAGAUUGUUUUGUGCAUUUUGUCCAUGUUAAACUCCAAAACACUGCAACUUCAGAGAGUGAGAUGGAGGCCUCAAGUUCAUCAGUAAGUGAUGUUUCCUCAGCAAAAUCAUGUGAUGCUCAUCUUCUAACUUGUGGGAGGGCGUGGGCUAUUUCCCUAUCACCAAGAAGUACUAUAGGUCAAGAGAUUUUAAGAGUAUGUUUCCCUAGAGAUGGGGAAGGAUCAGAGGAAAGCCUUCUUUAUCGGUCAUCACUUCAUGGGAAAGGUUUGAACAGAUUCUGGUCAAAUAUUGAGGGUUAUCAUGGCCCAAUGUUAAUGUUGAUUUCUGCCAGUUCAGGAAAUUCUGAGGGUAGCACCAAUUCCAGGAGAUGGAUCAUUGGUGCACUUACUCAGCAGGGUUUCGAAAAUAAGGAUAUGUUUUAUGGAAACUCUGGGAAUCUAUAUGCUAUAAGUCCAGUUUUCCAUUCAUUUUCACCUUCUGGGAAGGAGAAGAACUUUGUGUAUAGUCAUUUACAUCCUACUGGUAGGGCAUAUGAGCCACAUCCAAAGCCUGCGGGGAUUGCAUUUGGUGGAACCAUUGGGAAUGAGAGAAUAUUUAUUGACGAGGAUUUUGCUAGAGUUACUGUUCGCCAUCAUGCAGUUGACAAAACUUAUCAACCUGGUUCCCUCAUCCCUGAUCAGGGGUUUUUACCUGUUGAAGCACGGGUUUUAGAUGUGGAAGUAUGGGGAUUGGGUGGAAGAACAGCCAGGGAAGUACAAAUCUCAUUUCAGAAGAGAGAACAACUUUUUACUGAGCAAAGACGCAAGGUUGACUUGAAAACAUUUGCGAGUUGGGAUGAUUCACCUGAGAAGAUGAUGAUGGAUGUUAUGUCUGAUCCUAACAGAGUUAAUCGGGAAGACCGCUAAUCAGGAGAGUACAAGUUCAAGCUUCAAGUGACUGGCUUAGAGAAAAUGAUUAGAAAAGUGUCAACUAGCAUCCGAAUCCUUCCUGUUCCAUGCACGAUCCUUCUGCUUUGCCCCAAACUCUGCUAGCCAAACCUGAAUUGUCGACAUGCAUUUGAGCAGUGGUUUGUGGCGUAGGGAGUUGUUAAUGUGCAGCUGAAGGGGCAUAUUUCUCCAGUAGAAUUAUGCAAUAGGGAGAAUAUUUCAGGGCUGGUGUCGCUGCCAUGUUUGCCAUAGUCGACUUCUAUGUCUUGAUGAGAGGAUUGGAGGUGCUUCAUUAAAGCUUCAUUGGGGAUUUCAGCAUCUAAAAUUUGUUGAUUAUGGCUCUGUGCUACUAGCCAUCCUAUCGAAUUGUCCAAAUUUCCUCAUUUAUGAGAUGGAAUGUUGUAUCUGAUAUAGUUUUAUAUAUAUUUGUAUAGAUCAUGGGAAUUCCCAUUAUUUUUUCAGAGUCAAA